Molecule: ribosomal RNA, 478 nt
Filed under: uncultured bacterium
Lineage: Bacteria
Description: partial 16S ribosomal RNA
Rfam family: Bacterial small subunit ribosomal RNA
Source: RNAcentral
GACGAACGCUGGCGGCGUGCUUAACACAUGCAAGUCGAACGGUAAGGCCCUUCGGGGUACACGAGUGGCGAACGGGUGAGUAACACGUGGGUGAUCUGCCCUGCACUUCGGGAUAAGCCUGGGCAACUGGGUCUAAUACCGGAUAGGACUCCGGCCUGCAUGGUCUGGGGUGGAAAGCUUUUGCGGUGUGGGAUGGGCCCGCGGCCUAUCAGCUUGUUGGUGGGGUGAUGGCCUACCAAGGCGACGACGGGUAGCCGGCCUGAGAGGGUGACCGGCCACACUGGGACUGAGAUACGGCCCAGACUCCUACGGGAGGCAGCAGUGGGGAAUAUUGCACAAUGGGCGCAAGCCUGAUGCAGCGACGUCGCGUGGGGGAUGACGGCCUUCGGGUUGUAAACCUCUUUCAGCAUCGACGAAGCGAAAGUGACGGUAGGUGCAGAAGAAGGACCGGCCAACUACGUGCCAGCCGCCGCCGUAA